AUUGCCCCUUGAGGCGUUGCAAUGCGACUGACCUGUCGUAUUUGUGUCAUAAGGUGGCAUAGAACAAAGGGCUAUGUUUACGCCUCAAACCCUCUUCAAUGGGUUCUCAGUGUCUUUAUAGUCCUACAAG
This is a small nucleolar RNA of Astyanax mexicanus (Mexican tetra), 130 nucleotides long. NCBI's taxonomy places the organism in Eukaryota, Metazoa, Chordata, Actinopteri, Characiformes, Acestrorhamphidae. The record is from Ensembl.